UUGCGCAAUGGGCGAAAGCCUGACGCAGCGACGCCGCGUGAGGGAUGAAGGUUUUCGGAUCGUAAACCUCUGUUGACAAUCAGAAGGGAAGAAACUACGUUGUGCUAAUCAGCAGCGUACUGACGGUACCUUCAAAGGAUGUACCGUCCGGCUAACUCCGUGCCAGCUGACGUACGUAGAAGUACGGAGCAGUGCAACCGUUAAUCGGAAUUCUGGGCUAAAGCGCACGAUCGGACGUACADGGUGACGUGGACGUUACGUACGGGGUACGUACUACUGA
Molecule: ribosomal RNA, 280 nt
Filed under: uncultured bacterium
Lineage: Bacteria
Description: partial 16S ribosomal RNA
Rfam family: Bacterial small subunit ribosomal RNA
Source: RNAcentral